Molecule: long non-coding RNA, 302 nt
Organism: Oncorhynchus tshawytscha (Chinook salmon)
Lineage: Eukaryota; Metazoa; Chordata; Actinopteri; Salmoniformes; Salmonidae
Source: Ensembl
CAUGAAGACUUGUCAUGAAGAGUUGUCAUGGAGGAGUUGUUAUGAAGGAGUUGUCAUGAAGGAUUGCAUGGGAGAGUUGUAAUAGAGGAGUUGUUAUGAAGGAGUUGUCAUGGUGGAGUUGUCAUGGAAGAGUUGUCAUGAAGGAGUUGUCAUGGGGGAUUGCAUGGGAGAGUUGUAAUAGAGGAGUUGACAUGGAGGAGUUGUCAUGAAGACUUGUCAUGAAGAGUUGUCAUGGAGGAGUUGUUAUGAAGGAGUUGUCAUGAAGGAGUUGUCAUGGGGGAGUUUUCAUGGGGAGUUGUCAU